This 439-nucleotide ribosomal RNA is filed under the name uncultured bacterium. Its description in RNAcentral is "bacterial SSU rRNA". It matches the Rfam family "Bacterial small subunit ribosomal RNA", at positions 959 to 1397 of the family's 1533-position model. The record is from RNAcentral.
ACGCGCGGAACCUUACCAGGUCUUGACAUCCCGUGACAACUCUAGAGAUAGGGCGUUCCCCUUCGGGGGACACGGUGACAGGUGGUGCAUGGUUGUCGUCAGCUCGUGUCGUGAGAUGUUGGGUUAAGUCCCGCAACGAGCGCAACCCUUGAUCUUAGUUGCCAGCAUUCAGUUGGGCACUCUAAGGUGACUGCCGGUGACAAACCGGAGGAAGGUGGGGAUGACGUCAAAUCAUCAUGCCCCUUAUGACCUGGGCUACACACGUGCUACAAUGGAUGGUACAAAGGGCAGCGAAACCGCGAGGUUAAGCCAAUCCCAUAAAACCAUUCUCAGUUCGGAUUGCAGGCUGCAACUCGCCUGCAUGAAGCCGGAAUCGCUAGUAAUCGCGGAUCAGCAUGCCGCGGUGAAUACGUUCCCGGGCCUUGCACACACCGCCCGU